ACUCAAAGGAAUUGACGGGGCUCCGCACAAGCGGAGGAUGAUGUGGUUUAAUACGAUGCUACGCGCAGAACCUUACCAAGGCUUGACAUCCCGAUCGUACACCUAUGAAAGUAGGUGGUCAGUUCGGCUGGAUCGGUGACAGGUGUUGCAUGGCCGUCGUCAGCUCGUGUCGUGAGAUGUUGGGUUAAGUCCCGCAACGAGCGCAACCCUUGUCGUGUGUUGUAUUUUUCACGCGAGACCGCCCGGGCCAACCGGGAGGAAGGUGGGGAUGACGUCAGGUCCGCAUGACCCUUAUGUCUUGGGCUACACACGUCAUACAAUGGCCGGUACAACGGGUCGCUAACCCGCGAGGGGGAGCUAAUCCUAUCAAAACCGGUCCCAGUUCGGAUUGCAGGCUGAAACUCGCCUGCAUGAAGUUGGAUUCGCUAGUAACCGUAGGUCAGCACACUACGGUGAAUACGUUCCCGGAGCUUGUACACACCGCCCGU
RNAcentral lists this ribosomal RNA (488 nucleotides) under uncultured bacterium. Its description in RNAcentral is "partial 16S ribosomal RNA". It matches the Rfam family "Bacterial small subunit ribosomal RNA", at positions 899 to 1397 of the family's 1533-position model. The record is from RNAcentral.